Molecule: long non-coding RNA, 1435 nt
Filed under: Marmota monax (woodchuck)
Lineage: Eukaryota; Metazoa; Chordata; Mammalia; Rodentia; Sciuridae
Source: RNAcentral
GCUAUAUUUUUAGAUAACUAUGACAAUGCCUUAAGACUAAGACUGUUUCACCCUUUUCAGUCAUAAGAGUCAAAUCUUGGAAAUUCCUAUACAAACAAGGAAUGGAUAUUAUUACAAAUAAAAAGAACACACAAAGGAAACAGGAGGUAAAUUUUAUUUAUGUCUGGAUUAGAAUGUAGAUGGUCAAGACCAUUUAUGUCACGGCUUUUCCAUAUGGGAUAUUUCCUAACUCUGCUUUAAUAUGAAAGAAGUGAGAAAAUAAAUAUAAAUAUAAAAAUGUUGCCCCAAAUUGCAAGGCAUCUACGUAUUCCAUAUUUGCCAUGUAUAUGAACAGGAAAGGAAAGAGAAUGCUAUAAAAUUUGAUAAAUUUCUUUGAUUGAUUCAUAUGUUUUCAUAGUCAAACAGAAAGGAGAGAAUGGGAAAAAGAGGGGAUCCCUGAAAUGAUGAGAUAAAGCCAGUAUGCCAGCAUUCAUCUGACAGACCAUGAUAGCUCUCCUCUUCUUGUGUUCAUCAGCUAAUGCAGGGAUUGAGUUACAAAGAAAGUACUAGGUUGAAGAAAGGAGGUACCCUUGAUCUCUGGAAACAAAGAAGUGUUUCUCCUGAGGAAAUCACAAUAUUAUUUUAAAGCAACAAAAAUCUCAUUGAAUUGCUCUUUUGGACUAUCAAAAGUGGGAGAUAUGGAGAGCUGAUGGUAGAUAGAUAUAUAGAUAGAUAAUAGAAGAUAUAUUUGUGCACAUUACAUUAUUAUAAUAAAGGGAAUUUUUAAAAAUGAUAUGCUGGAUGGAUGCAUUUGCCAUCUCUCUUGAGUCUAUUGUUUAUUUUAGGGGUUAUGAACAUGCACAACAUGAUAAUAUUCACAUAUACAGGUUUCAAGUUGUUUUGGGCCAAGAAAAGUAUGAUUUCAGAAGUCUCAGUCCAUAGAUGGCCAGCUGCAUCGCUCUGGGCCUGAGUUGAGGCAGAACAUCAUGGCAGAAGAGUGGUGGAGGAAAGUGACUCAGGACAUAGCACCAUGAAGCAGAAAGAACAAUCACCUAAUAUUUUUAAUGUUUUCUGUCCAUUUUCCAGCACAGUGUGCCUCAGCCAUAACUCCUCUUGACAGAACAGUUGAUUCCCCAAUACAGCUAGGAGACAGUGGAGAUGAAUCCACCUAGUAAUCGCCACCUAGUCUUUUCUUGGUAAGCAUUAUGCUGAGUGGUGAAUGAACUCAUCAGAUUCCUUCCUGACAGCAGGGCUGUUUAAUUUUGUUUUGAGAAGGAGAAGGAAAGAAAGGAGAUACUAAUAAGAUACCUGAUAAGUAACAAAGGACAGUCUUUCCAGGGGCAAAAGUAUCCAGAGUCACCUUUUCUGGUACUCUUGAUGCUUUCAGACUUUGGAAUAGGCAGGAAAAAGGUUCCCACCAUUUGAUACCCCCAAAUAAGCAUUUAAGUGAAACAGG